This 245-nucleotide ribosomal RNA is filed under the name uncultured bacterium. RNAcentral's name for it is "partial 16S ribosomal RNA". It matches the Rfam family "Bacterial small subunit ribosomal RNA", at positions 524 to 768 of the family's 1533-position model. The record is from RNAcentral.
UACAGAGGUGGCAAGCGUUGUUCGGAUUUACUGGGCGUAAAGGGUGCGUAGGUGGCUUCGUGUGUCGGGCGUGAAAGCCCACCGCUUAACGGUGGAACGCCGUCCGAAACUGCGGGGCUCGAGUGCAGAAGAGGAGAGCGGAAUUCUCGGUGUAGCGGUGGAAUGCGUUGAUAUCGAGAAGAACACCAGUGGCGUAGGCGGCUCUCUGGAAUGCAACUGACACUGAGGCACGAAAGCGUGGGGAG